This 406-nucleotide ribosomal RNA is filed under the name uncultured bacterium. Its description in RNAcentral is "partial 16S ribosomal RNA". It matches the Rfam family "Bacterial small subunit ribosomal RNA", at positions 29 to 526 of the family's 1533-position model. The record is from RNAcentral.
AUUGAACGCUGGCGGCAGGCUUAACACAUGCAAGUCGAGCGAGCGGCGGACGGGUGAGUAAUGUCUGGGAAACUGCCUGAUGGGGGGGGAUAACUACUGGAAACGGUAGCUAAUACCGCAUACUAUCAGAUGAGACUAGGUAGGAUGAGCUAGUUGGUGGGGUAAAGGCCUACCAGGGCGACGAGCCGUAACUGGUCCGAGAGGAUGAUCAGUCACACUGGAACGGAGACACGGUCCAUGCUCCUACGGUAGGCAGCAGUGGGGAAGAUUGGACAAUGGGCGAAAGCCUGAUCCAGCCAUGCCGCGUGUGUGAAGAAGGCCGUCGGGUUGUAAAGCACUUGCAGCGAGGAGGCGUUACUCGCAGAAGAAGCACCGGCUAACUCCGUGCCAGCAGCCGCGGUAAUAC